GGGGUCUCGGGCAGGGGCGGGGAGCUUACCGACCUCCCGCCCCCGCUGCGCGCGUUUCUGGCCCUGCCAGUGUCUCCGCCGGUUGAAAGCGCGUGUCUGCGUCGGGUUCUGUUGGAGUGCGUUCGGUGCGCCGUGGGUCCGCGCUGCUUCCACCCAACUUCCUGUUAGUUUCUCUCCUGUCACAAUGGCAUGAUCUCGGCUCACUGCGACCUCUGCUUCCUGGGUUCAAGGAUUCUCCUGCCUCAGCCUCCCAAGUAGCUGGGAUUACAGUUUCCAUCAUUAUCUUCUAUGGAGUUCUUCAUUCCCACAUCUGUGGACCUUAAAAUCCUACCGUUGAGUGCCUGCCUUGGAUCAGCAGUCAGUUCGUUACCUUGGUUCUCAGACGAUGCUUGCAACAACGCCAUGCGAUUCGCCCACUCUUGGGUUACAUUAGUUAUACACUCUGGAGGUGACUUGACCUGUCAUUGUGAACAAUUAUUGCUCUUGGACGACCCAGGACAUAGGCCAGCCAGUACGUACCCCAGUGUGUUGGAGAAUCGCGCUCGGCUUCUUCCUCUGUGCUGAGUCAUGAAAGUUGCCGGAGCAGGUGCAGUUACACAACCUCCAGGUAUGAUCCUGUUUAAGGACUGGAUUUAGGAUAACUACUUAGAGGUUAAAAGUCACAAGGGUGUAUGGAUGAGGCUGGAGUGAUCUGGGACCAAAGACAUCUAGGCUUGCUGUCAAGGCUUCUGAUCAACAUGAGAUGACCGCCGUGUGGUAAACUGAUGAACCCUGACCCUGAUCAACAUGAGAUGACCGCCGUGUGGUAAACUGAUGAACCCCGACCCUGAUGAACGUGAGAUGACCGCCGUGUGGUAAACUGAUGAACCCCGACCCUGAUGAACGUGAGAUGACCGCCGUGUGGUAAACUGAUGAACCCCGACCCUGAUGAACGUGAGAUGACCGCCGUGUGGUAAACUGAUGAACCCCGACCCUGAUGAACGUGAGAUGACCGCCGUGUGGUAAACUGAUGAACCCCGACCCUGAUCAACGUGAGAUGACCGCCGUGUGGUAAACUGAUGAACCCCGACCCUGAUGAACAUGAGAUGACCGCCGUGUGGUAAACUGAUGAACCCCGACCCUGAUCAACAUGAGAUGACCGCCGUGUGGUAAACUGAUGAACCCCGACCCUGAUCAACAUGAGAUGACUGCCGUGUGGUAAACUGAUGAACCCUGACCCAUUAGGCUUUGGCUACAGAAUGUGGAAAUAAGUUGUGUUACUACAUGUGUGUAAUCCUAGGGUGCAGGACACCGGCCGGGAGGUUCCAUAGAGUGAUGGGUUCUGCAGGUAACUCAUCCUCUAGUCCUCUGUAAGCUCCUAGAAGGAAGAAAUUAUGUCCUUUAGACUAAUAAAAUUCCUCCAAACCAAAUACAGCACCUACUGUGAAGACACAAAGAUACUUUUAGAAUAGUAAAAACUUUAUCCAUUGAGAAAUUCCUUAAUGAAACAGUAUCCAAGAAGUCAUUUGCCAGCAGAUUUCUUAGAGGUGCGAUAAAGAAGAGGACAUUGCCAGUCGUCACAGCAGCUGCAAUAGCUCCUCUCUAUUGUUAAACAGUGGGAUAUCUUGUGCAGGUUUUCAGUUGACAAUCAAUUUUAAAGAUUAGUUUCGGUCCCCAUCAAUCAAUUAUUUAUUAACCCAUCAAUAAAAAUUUAAAUGCUCUGUGAGGUACAAUAGCUAUUAAAAGAGACAGAGGCACUUUCUGUGUCCAGAGGGGCUUUUAGUCUGCUCUGGAAAGCAAGAUGCGUGCAGAUGAGUGACGCAGUGCAUCGUGUGGAUGCAAAGGGAGGGACUCACAUGGGAACCAGAGGAGCUACGAAGGGAGGCAGUGGGGACUGGUGGGUCGAGACCUGGAAAUAACACAUGAAUAGGCAACAAAGGUUUCCUUUCCUCUUCCAUGCACUUCAGUCCUUGAAAAACGUCUUACCACGGAAUUCCACAGCGUACCAAGCGAUUCCACAGCUUGAUGGCACACUCUCCUUUCUCAGCAUUCUUGAAAAUGGCGUGUGAGCCAAGCCAUCUUACUGAGAAAUUACCUUAAACCAUUUGAUGAACCAAAAAUAUUUUGUAAUACCCAUCUCCGACAUUAGGUAGGCAAAUCACACAGAAACACCGAGGUCUUCUGAGUCAUAUUUAUCUGAAAAAUCACAGCUUGGGUGCAUGUGAAGCCAGAGGAGCACUCCUGGGGCCUGCGGUGCCAUCACUCAGCUCCCCUGGGCUUCACAUGGCCAUGGAGCACCCAGCAAGUGUAGGCUCUGAGCCUUCAGGGAGGGGCGGCAUCAGCCAGCACCAUCGUCUCCUGGGUCUUGUGCCUCUUCCUUGGUUGCGGUGUUGUCAGGGCCAGAAUUGGGCAAUUCCGGGUGACAUCCAGGUGUGGCUGCUGACACGGAGCACAGGUGAGGUUCACUGAGGACACCCUGCUCCUGUGGUUUGCAGCCCCGGCCUUCUCUUCGAGGACGCCUCUGCUCUUCUGCCUCACACUCGGAUUGGACCUUCUUCAGCACAGCCAGUGGCCGAGGCUUCCUCCCUGGGGCUCAGUGGAGCAGGACAGAUGCUGCAUCCAAACUCUUCCAUUGGGUUCCAGUCUGUUCCAGUCAUGCCCUUGAGCCUCUAAAGCUCCUAGGUGAGAGACGUAGCAGCUGACAGCACUUCCCACUUGAUUUGGGUGGACUCCAGCCUCCCCAGCAACAAUAAGAGAUCAAAAGCAUCGUUGAGGAAGCAGCUUGCUGAAACGCUGAGUGCCCGCCACUCUCAGGUCAGGUGGGACCGGCAGGCCAGCAUGAGUUCCUGAACACUUGGUUCUCAAUACUGGCCACAGCCACACUGUAAGGGGAAACAAGAGGGCACUGUAUGCAAACAUCUCUUGAACUCUGGAGUCUGCUCACCUUCCUGCCUCAAGCCCCUCUCCCACGUGGUCCAGUCACCAUUCUCCACAGAGACUACCCUAAAACCCAGCGACUCUCGUGUGCCUGCAGAAUGGCACAGCCCGUUCUCAUAGCAGCACUCCUGUUUAAUCAGAGGGAUGUUAACGACCAAGUCAUAUUUGCUCGAUUUGUGUUCAACAUAUUUCAUUUGUACCGAUAAAACUUAAAAAUAUCCCCACACAUGCAUUGCCUAUUAAAGAGUAUCUUCCAGGUACACCUCCCUUACACAUCAGUUAACUUGAUAAUUUCUUCCCAUUCUUGUGCAAUAAAUUUCCUUCCUGAUCAGCUCUGUCCAGCAGCAACAAUAAUCCACGUAGAGACAUGCAAACUAAAAGUCCGUUAGUGGAGGCACGAAGCUGAUGAGGCUUGGAAAAAAAUGACCGAUUUGAUUAAAAUUAGGACCCAUGGGAGUGGAGCUCUGCCUAUUUUAGAGGCAAAGUAAAUGCCUGGGAGUCCAAUCACCGACAUUCUGUUUGAGGUUUCUAAUCACAAGGAAGAUGGAGAAAAUGCAGAACAAGUGGUCAAGAACAGGGAGAUAAUAAAUAGAAUAUUUAUGGGCUGAGGAAAACAAUUACCAGGGGAAAGCCCAAGAAGCAAAGAUGAACAGAGAACGUGCUGACUGCGCUCGUUUGGAAAGGCCUCAUGGCCAAAGGAGGAGAGGCAUUAUGAGGAGCAGUGACCGAGUGGGCAGGACCCCCGGGGAUCAGGAAAGGUGCACGGGGGGAAAUGAGAGGCCUGAGCGGCUUCCCAGCGAAGGUUUUUGAAGCACGGUUUGAUUUUCUCUCUCCCCCUCACCAUCCCCAAAUUUUAGUUGUGACUAUCUCCAGGUACAUGGCUUGCGACAGGCGGUGUAUAAAAACUAAUGUCAGUUUAAUUUUAAAACCUUAGCCAUUUUCUGGAACUUAAAUAUCAAAGAGAAAAUGUCCACAUAUGAUGUUAAUUGAGGUUUGUCUCACUGGUGAUUUGUGCUGAUUCAAUUCCUGUUUCUUUUUUUUUUUCUUAAGGGGUCAGUUUUAGAAUUGGGAGAUAGGUGUAUAACAUAUGACUAUACAGCGCAGGUUGGUUUUUUAACAUAGAAAUAUCUGCCUUUAAAUGAGAACUGAAAACGGAGCUUCUUGGAGGCCACCUGCUGGUGGCAGUGAUCUGACCGCUGUUUAAGCUUUCUUUGAACUCCUUUUUUUAAAACAGCCUCCAUAAUCAAUGGUGUACGAUCUACUCUCGUGGUAAAACUUACUCAGUGAAGAGUGUGUUUUAUUUUCUGAGGAGCUGAACUGUUCCAACCUGAGUAUUCUGAAUAAGGACAGUGGUCGAGCAUGAGUGAUGCCAUCUGGGCUUAGAAAUAAGUGGGCCUAAAAUCUGAUUGUUUUCAUACAUUGUUCAGAUAUUGACGCAAAUAGCAAUUUAUUUUGUAAAAAAUGAUUGGUAUCCGGAACUUGCAACAGCUGUGUGUGGCUUGAAGGGAGAUGAAGUGGUGAAGGCCUGGUUUCCACCGAAGCUCUCACAGCCCAGCCUUUCACUGUGUGGCCGGGGGAAGGGUGCUCCGGGUGGGGGACGGGAAUGGUGGGACUGGGGAUGCCACGGGACAAGGCUGCUGGCCUGGAAGGUAGUCACGUGGAGAACCGCAGGAGAUGAGAUUGGAAAGUAGUAAUAAGCCAUGUGGAUAAGAACAGAGGAGCGGGUUUUAAGGGGGACGUCCUGAAAUGCUGCUCAUGUCGUUUCAGUUCCAUAGACCACAGGAAAUGCAGGUGAGAGGGCAGCCCGGUGGGAAGGAAGGAAGAGGGUGGUGGUGAGCCAGGUGAGUGUGGAGCCGCCCAGGGCACCGUGCUGUGCGAUAGCUCAGGCAUCGGGUGCUUCUGCCAAACCCUUCAGCAGCUGGUUUGGGGCCAAACGUCCUUCCUGUGUGAGAGAAGGCAGAGCCUAGGCAGCAUUCCAAACCCCAUCCAGAUGGGAGGCUGAGUGCAGAGCAAACGGAGCCCAGCACUCCAGAGCCGUGUCCCUUCACUGCCAUGAUCACAUCACAAACAGCGAGGCUUGGAGAGGACUUAAGAGCUCCUUCAAUGCCAUCUUCCAUCCACUGCGUGAGCCAGAAUAGAAAAAAAGGAAUAAGAAGAGGUCGGUUAAGCUCUCUAUUAAGUUGAGAAAAUGGGAACUUCAGGUGAUCAUGUGAGAUAUUCAAGUUAAAAAAAUUAUUUAAAAAGCACAUUCUUAUUAUUAAAAUUUUAGAAAGUACAGAGAAGGAAAUUUUAAUAACCUACACCUAGAACACUAAGAUACUGGUAACGUAGAAAAAUGUGUAGUUAAUGCCUUGAUGGAUUCUUUUCUAUUUUUUUCUCUAGCAAUAUUUAUGUCUAUCCACAGAAAGCGUACACUC
Molecule: long non-coding RNA, 5333 nt
Organism: Homo sapiens (human)
Lineage: Eukaryota; Metazoa; Chordata; Mammalia; Primates; Hominidae
Product: long intergenic non-protein coding RNA 1128
Source: Ensembl